Molecule: transfer RNA, 55 nt
Filed under: Grandidierella japonica
Lineage: Eukaryota; Metazoa; Arthropoda; Malacostraca; Amphipoda; Corophiidae
Description: tRNA-Ser
Source: RNAcentral
AGUUUGCCAUAAAAGUUGUUUUGAAAACAACAAAAAGACUUAAGUCUACAAGCUA